AUGUGGUCACCAUAGCAUUGCUUAUCUAUGAAAAUGGAGACCACUUUGUGUUGGGAGCCUGGAAAGGGAUACACCAUUGGACUGCUUCCAAACAAGCCCUAGCCUCUGCCAUAGUCAUAAAGAAAGAUAACCCUGAAAUCCUCGCAAUCCGGACUUUGUCGGUUAGGUACUGAACCAGAACGAGACUAUUUGUGAAAAUGGAGACCACUUUGUGCUCGGAAUAGAUACACACCAUUGGACUGCUUCCAAACGCGCCUUAGCCUCCUCCGCCAUAGUCGCCGGACAAGAAGAAUCCAGUUUAACAUCCUCA
Rhododendron vialii is the source of this 310-nucleotide long non-coding RNA. RefSeq lists it as uncharacterized. The transcript has 2 exons. The record is from RefSeq and is a predicted model, not a curated record. Lineage: Eukaryota; Viridiplantae; Streptophyta; Magnoliopsida; Ericales; Ericaceae.